CGACGCCGCGUGAGGGAUGACGGCCUUCGGGUUGUAAACCUCUUUCAGCAGGGACGAAGCGCAAGUGACGGUACCUGCAGAAGAAGCACCGGCUAACUACGUGCCAGCAGCCGCGGUAAUACGUAGGGUGCAAGCGUUGUCCGGAAUUACUGGGCGUAAAGAGUUNGUAGGCGGUUUGUCGCGUCGUUUGUGAAAACCAGCAGCUCAACUGCUGGCUUGCAGGCGAUACGGGCAGACUUGAGUACUGCAGGGGAGACUGGAAUUCCUGGUGUAGCGGUGAAAUGCGCAGAUAUCAGGAGGAACACCGGUGGCGAAGGCGGGUCUCUGGGCAGUAACUGACGCUGAGGAACGAAAGCGUGGGUAGCGAACAGGAUUAGAUACCCUGGUAGUCCACGCCGUAAACGGUGGGCGCUAGGUGUGGGUUCCUUCCACGGAAUCCGUGCCGUAGCUAACGCAUUAAGCGCCCCGCCUGGGGAGUACGGCCGCAAGGCUA
Molecule: ribosomal RNA, 493 nt
Filed under: uncultured eubacterium ZI-6
Lineage: Bacteria
Description: bacterial SSU rRNA
Rfam family: Bacterial small subunit ribosomal RNA
Source: RNAcentral